CCAACGGCUCUUUUCAGAGCCACCAACUUUUUCUUUGAAAGAGUA
Molecule: non-coding RNA, 45 nt
Organism: Danio rerio (zebrafish)
Lineage: Eukaryota; Metazoa; Chordata; Actinopteri; Cypriniformes; Danionidae
Source: Rfam